UCAAGCAUGUAAGAGCGUAGGGUGGAUGCCUUGGCACUAAGAGCCGAUGAAAGACGUGAUAAGCUGCGAUAAGCUUCGGGGAGGAGCAAAUAUCCUUUGAUCCGGAGAUCUCUGAAUGGGGAAACCCGGCUGUAUGGACUACAGUCAUCCAUAAGUGAAUCCAUAGCUUAUGGAAGGGAACCCGGGGAACUGAAACAUCUAAGUACCCGGAGGAAGAGAAAGAAACAUUCGAUUCCGUAAGUAGCGGCGAGCGAACGCGGAAGAGCCCAAACCGUGAUGCGUGCAUCGCGGGGUUCGGACUGCAUAAGGGAUUCAGUAACGGCAGGAGAACGGCUUUGGAACAGCCGGCCAGAGAGGGUGAGAGCCCCGUAUCCGAAGCCAGAGCUGACCCGGCAGGAUCCAGAGUACCACGGGACACGGGAAACCCUGUGGGAACGAGCGGAGACCACUCCGUAAGGCUAAAUACUACUCAGUGACCGAUAGCGUAUAGUACUGUGAAGGAAAGGUGAAAAGAACCCCGGGAGGGGAGUGAAAGAGAACCUGAAACCCUGUGUCUACAAGCUGUGGAAGUACUUCUCAGGUACGACCGCGUACUUUUUGUAGAACGGUCCGGCGAGCUGCGGGUACUGGCAAGGUUAAGCACCUAAGGUGCGGAGCCGUAGGGAAACCAAGUCUUAAGAGGGCGUUUUAGUCAGUACGUGCAGGCCCGAAACCGGGUGACCUAUCCAUGUCCAGGUUGAAGCCGCCGUAAAAGGCGAUGGAGGACCGAACCCACAUCCGUUGAAAAGGGUGGGGAUGAGGUGUGGAUAGCGGAGAAAUUCCAAUCGAACCCGGAGAUAGCUGGUUCUCCUCGAAAUAGCUUUAGGGCUAGCCUCAUACAAGUCUGCCGGAGGUAGAGCACUGAAUUUCCGCGGGGGCGUCAAAGCCUACCAAAGAAUAUCAAACUCCGAAUGCCGGACAGAUGGUGUAUGGGAGUCAGACUGUACGAGAUAAGUUGGACAGUCAAAAGGGAAAGAGCCCAGACCGCCGGCUAAGGUCCCAAAGUGGGUGUUAAGUGGAAAAGGAUGUGGGAUCUCUAAGACAACCAGGAUGUUGGCUCAGAAGCAGCCAUUCAUUAAAAGAGUGCGUAACAGCUCACUGGUCGAGAGGUCCUGCGCCGAAAAUGUCCGGGGCUGAAACACCACACCGAAGCCGCGGAACCCGUAAGGGUUGGUAGAGGAGCAUUCUUAGGGGAGUGAAGCAUUACCGGAAGGGGAUGUGGACCGCUAAGAAGAGAGAAUGCCGGAAUGAGUAGCGAGAGCAAGGUGAGAAUCCUUGCGGCCGAAUAUCCAAGGUUUCCAGAGUAAAGCUGAUCUGCUCUGGGUAAGUCGGGGCCUAAGGAGAGGCAGAGAUGCGUAUCCGAUGGACAGCAGGUUUAAGAUUCCUGCACCCCUUGUUAUCAGAACUGCGGGGACACGGGAAGGGAAGCAGAGCCGGGAAUGGAAAGCCCGGUGCAAGCGAAGUAGUCGCAGGGUUGGAAAAUCCGCCCUGCAUAAGACGAAGGCGUGAUGCGGAGCGAAAUGAAGUAGUGAAGCUGCGGCCCCUUCCUGUCGAGAAAAGCCGCUAUCGUGUAGCAAGGGCCCGUACCGUAAACCGACACAGGUGGAUGAGGAGAGGAUCCUAAGGCCGGCGGGAGAAGUGUUGUUAAGGAACUCGGCAAAAUGACUCCGUAACUUCGGGAGAAGGAGUGCUGCGCAAGCAGCCGCAGAGAAAUGGCCCAAGCAACUGUUUAGCAAAAACACAGGUCUAUGCGAAACCGGAAGGUGAGGUAUAUGGGCUGACGCCUGCCCGGUGCUGGAAGGUUAAGGGGAGAGCUUAGCGCGAGCGAAGGUUUGAACUUAAGCCCCAGUAAACGGCGGCCGUAACUAUAACGGUCCUAAGGUAGCGAAAUUCCUUGUCGGGUAAGUU
Molecule: ribosomal RNA, 1947 nt
Filed under: human gut metagenome
Description: bacterial LSU rRNA
Rfam family: Bacterial large subunit ribosomal RNA
Source: RNAcentral